Molecule: ribosomal RNA, 464 nt
Filed under: uncultured Klebsiella sp.
Lineage: Bacteria; Pseudomonadati; Pseudomonadota; Gammaproteobacteria; Enterobacterales; Enterobacteriaceae
Description: bacterial SSU rRNA
Rfam family: Bacterial small subunit ribosomal RNA
Source: RNAcentral
CUACGGGGGGCUGCAGUGGGGCAUAUUGCACAAUGGGCGCAAGCCUGAUGCAGCCAUGCCGCGUGUGUGAAGAAGGCCUUCGGGUUGUAAAGCACUUUCAGCGGGGAGGAAGGCGUUAAGGUUAAUAACCUUGUCGAUUGACGUUACCCGCAGAAGAAGCACCGGCUAACUCCGUGCCAGCAGCCGCGGUAAUACGGAGGGUGCAAGCGUUAAUCGGAAUUACUGGGCGUAAAGCGCACGCAGGCGGUCUGUCAAGUCGGAUGUGAAAUCCCCGGGCUCAACCUGGGAACUGCAUUCGAAACUGGCAGGCUAGAGUCUUGUAGAGGGGGGUAGAAUUCCAGGUGUAGCGGUGAAAUGCGUAGAGAUCUGGAGGAAUACCGGUGGCGAAGGCGGCCCCCUGGACAAAGACUGACGCUCAGGUGCGAAAGCGUGGGGAGCAAACAGGAUUAGAUACCCCUGUAGUC